Molecule: long non-coding RNA, 295 nt
Filed under: Elaeis guineensis (African oil palm)
Lineage: Eukaryota; Viridiplantae; Streptophyta; Magnoliopsida; Arecales; Arecaceae
Description: long non-coding RNA (EGUI_LNC002454)
Source: RNAcentral
CCCCUGGGAUAGCCUGCCGAUAUCCACCACUCAAGCUCUGAUAGCCGCUAUAGGAUCCAUCAUUCUAGCUCUGACAACCACUACUCUGACUCCAACAGAUGCUAACCACCUAGUACACCCCUUCUCCUGAGAAAAGAAAAACAAGAGGAAAAAUAAGGGGGAUUCCUUUUGUCUAAGGAGGAGAGACUCCCAUUCUCAUCACCUUCUUCUACUAUUCUCUCUCUCCGAUUGUUAUUGACUUAACCAUCAAAAGAUAUCCUGUUGAAGAACCCCCACCUUGUUCUCUAUGUUAAGA